GAUGAACGCUGGCGGCGUGCCUAGUACAUGCAAGUCGAGCGAACAGACGAGGAGCUUGCUCCUCUGACGUUAGCGGCGGACGGGUGAGUAACACGUGGAUAACCUACCUAUAAGACUGGGAUAACCUCGGGAAACCGGAGCUAAUACCGGAUAAUAUAUUGAACCGCAUGGUUCAAUAGUGAAAGACGGUUUUGCUGUCACUUAUAGAUGGAUCCGCGCCGCAUUAGCUAGUUGGUAAGGUAACGGCUUACCAAGGCAACGAUGCGUAGCCGACCUGAGAGGGUGAUCGGCCACACUGGAACUGAGACACGGUCCAGACUCCUACGGGAGGCAGCAGUAGGGAAUCUUCCGCAAUGGGCGAAAGCUUGACGGAGCAACGCCGCGUGAGUGAUGAAGGUCUUCGGAUCGUAAAACUCUGUUAUUAGGGAAGAACAAAUGUGUAAGUAACUAUGCACGUCUUGACGGUACCUAAUCAGAAAGCCACGGCUAACUACGUG
Molecule: ribosomal RNA, 497 nt
Filed under: uncultured bacterium
Lineage: Bacteria
Description: partial 16S ribosomal RNA
Rfam family: Bacterial small subunit ribosomal RNA
Source: RNAcentral